RNAcentral lists this ribosomal RNA (1284 nucleotides) under metagenome. Its description in RNAcentral is "SSU rRNA". It matches the Rfam family "Eukaryotic small subunit ribosomal RNA", at positions 498 to 1792 of the family's 1831-position model. The record is from RNAcentral.
AGGCUCGUCAAUCGAAAUGAGUACAAUUUAAAUCCUUUAACGAGUACCAAUUGGAGGGCAAGUCUGGUGCCAGCAGCCGCGGUAAUUCCAGCUCCAAUAGCGAAUAUUAAAUUUGUUGCAGUUAAAAAGCUCGUAGUUGGAUCCAAGGUUAGGCAUGCCUGUCUGUUCUUAGUAGCAUGACUGUGUGUGUCUGCCUUUAUUAGUUGAAUGUUCAUUAUGGUGGUCUUCAUCGACUGCUAUGAUGUGCUCAACACGUUUACCUUGAAAAAAUCAGAGCGAUCAAGGCAGGCCUUCGUGCUUGUAUGUUGUUGCAAGGAAUAAUAGAAUAGGACUUCGGUUCUAUUUUGUUGGUUUUAAGAAUUGAAGUAAUGAACAAUAGAGACAGUCGGGGGCAUUUGUAUGGUGGCGUUAGAGGUGAAAUUCUGAGAUCGUCGCCAGACAAACUACUGCGAAAGCAUUUGCCAAGGAUGUCUUCAUUAAUCAAGAACGAAAGUCAGAGGUUCGAAGACGAUCAGAUACCGUCCUAGUUCUGACCAUAAACGAUGCCGACCUACAAUCGGGGGUGGUUUAUUAUAUUGACCCUCCCGGCUGUCCUCAGGAAACUUUAAGUUGGUUCUGGGGGGAAUAUGGUCUCAAGACUGAAACUUAAAGGAAUUGACGGAAGGGCACCACCAGGAGUGGAGCCUGCGGCUUAAUUUGACACAACACGGGGAAUCUCACCCGGUCCGGACACUGGUAGGAUGGACAGAUUGAUAGCUCUUUCUUGAUUCAGUGGGUGGUGGUGCAUGGCCGUUCUUAGUUGGUGGAGUGAUUUGUCUGGUUAAUUCCGAUAACGAACGAGACUCUGUCCUGCUAAAUAGUCCAGUGGCAUCAAUCACUAUGUGAUUACAGCUGCUGUUACUUCUUAGAGGGAUUCGCGGAUUUAAACCGCAAGAAAUAGAGCAAUAACAGGUCUGUGAUGCCCUUAGAUGUCCGGGGCCGCACGCGCGCUACAUUGACAGUAGAAGCGAGUAUUUCUACCUGGUUCGAAAGAAUUGGGAAAUCUUCGAAUUACUGUCUCCACAGGGAUUGAGGUUUGCAAUUUUGCCUCAUGAACGAGGAAUUCCCAGUAGGCGCAAGUCAUCAGCUUGCGUCGAUUACGUCCCUGCCCUUUGUACACACCGCCCGUCGCUACUACCGAUUGAGUGCAUUAGUGAGGACCUCGGAUUGAGAACAUAGUGGCGCAAGUUACUUUGUUUUCGAAAAGUGGUUCAAAUUUGUGCAUUUAGAGAUAGUAAAAGUCGU